This 119-nucleotide ribosomal RNA is filed under the name Pteropus alecto (black flying fox). The record is from RNAcentral. Lineage: Eukaryota; Metazoa; Chordata; Mammalia; Chiroptera; Pteropodidae.
GUCUACAGCCAUGCCUCCCUGAACAUACCUGAUCUUGUCUGAUCUCAGAAGCUAAGCAGGGUCGGGCUUGGUUAGUACUUGGAUGGGAGACCACUCAGGAAGACCAGGAGCUGUAGGCA